RNAcentral lists this ribosomal RNA (162 nucleotides) under uncultured bacterium. RNAcentral's name for it is "partial 16S ribosomal RNA". It matches the Rfam family "Bacterial small subunit ribosomal RNA", at positions 355 to 509 of the family's 1533-position model. The record is from RNAcentral.
UGGGGAAUUUUGGACAAUGGGCGCAAGCCUGAUCCAGCCAUGCCGCGUGAGUGAAGAAGGCCUUCGGGUUGUAAAGCUCUUUCAGACGGAAAGAAAUCUCUCAGGAUAAUACCUUGGGAGGAUGACGGUACCGUAAGAAGAAGCACCGGCUAACUACGUGCC